RNAcentral lists this long non-coding RNA (1189 nucleotides) under Salmo salar (Atlantic salmon). RNAcentral describes it as "lncRNA (ENSSSAG00000098309.1)". The record is from RNAcentral. Lineage: Eukaryota; Metazoa; Chordata; Actinopteri; Salmoniformes; Salmonidae.
AGGUGAGGGACAGGAUUCCACAGCAUUAGCCAAAUCUGGGUCGCUGGAGAACGUUCAGUUCAGAAUAUUUUCCUUGGCAGACGAGACGAUACCAACUACACGCCCCACUGUGUGUUCCCUCUCAGCGUGUGUGGGAUCGUACAUGGUGUGAGUGGAACACAGAGGAGUCCAAGGAGUCCACUGGAAGCCCAGUUCAGAUCUCACCCUACGGAUUAUAACACCCACUCACUAGAGCACAGCCCAUGUCCUCAAUAACCCCAGUUAUAAUAAAACACUCACUCACUACAGCACAGACCAAGAUGGAGAGGGAUGGAGUGCUGCAUCAGAUGACCUGGCCUCCGCAAUCAGCCAACCUCAACCCAUUUGAGAUGGUUUGGGAUGAGUUGGACCGCAGAGUGAAGGAAAAGCAGCCAACAAGUGCUCAGCAUAAUAUGGUAACUCCUUCAAGACUGUUGGAAAAGCAUUCCAGGUGAAGCUGGUUGAGAGAAUCCCAAGAGUGUGCAAAGCUGUCAUCAAGACAAAGGGACCUGAGCCCUAGGACCAUGCCUCAGGACUACCUGGCUUGAUGACUCCUUGCUGUCCCCAGUUCACCUGGCCGUGCUGCUGCUCCAGUUCCAACUGUUCUGCCUGCAGCUAUGGAACCCUGACCUGUUCACCGGACGUGCUACCUGUCCCAGACCUGUUGUCCCAGACCUGCUGGAACCCUGACCUAUUCACCGGACGUCCUACCUGUCCCAGAGUUGCUGUCCCAGACCUGCUGGAACCCUGACCUGUUCACCGGACGUGCUACCUGUCCCAGACCUGCUGUUUUCAACUCUCUAGAGACAGCAGGAGUGGUAGAGAUACUCUCAAAGAUCGGCUAUGAAAAAGCCAACUGACACUUACUCUUGUGUUACUGACUUGUUGCACCCUCGACAACUACUAUGAUUAUUAUUAUUUGACAAUGCUGGUCAUUUAUGAACAUUUGAACAUCUAGGCCAUGUGCUGUUAUAAUCUCCACCCAGCACAGCCAGAAGAGGACUGGCCACCCCUCAUAGCCUGGUUCCUCUCUAGGUUUCUUCCUAGGUUCUGGCCUUUCUAGGGAGUUUUUCCUAGCCACCGUGCUUCUACACCUGCAUUGCUUGCUGUUUGGGGUUUUAGGCUGGGUUUCUGUACAGCACUUUGUGAUAUCAGCUGAUGUAAGAAGGGC